UUCUCAACUUGAGUUGUUGAGCCUUUGGUGAAUGAAGUCUUUUGUGACCAGCAAGAGCCUCACUCUUCUCCGAGCAGAACAUAUCCUUGCUUGCUCCUGAAAGUCCCUAUUUCAUUUGCACAGACAGCGCACUGUGAGACGAAGAGCUCAGGUUCUGGAGCCAGUCUGUCUGGGGUUGAAUCUCUGCACAACUGGUUUCUAGAAGUUACACUAGGCAAGUUACUUCACCACUUUAUGUCUUACUUCUCAUCUGUGAAACAGGGAUACUACUCGGCCUAAUAGCGUACAGGAUUACUGUGAAGGAAAGCAGAUAUUGUGAAGACAGUAUUGACAGCUGUGAAGACAAAGGGGCACAGAGGGACAGUAAUAGUAUGUAGCUCAUAGAAUUAUUAUGGAAAUUAGAGUUAAUACAUAAUAUGCAUAGAACAAUGCCUGACAUAGUGCUCAGGGGAUGCUACUUAUUACUUUUACUUCUUUUAUGUUUGUAGAUAUUGCCCUAGGACAAUCCAGCACUCCUGCCCAUAUCGCCAGUCUCCCCGGCACUCCCGUGCCAUCUCAAUGCCUUCCUGAGGAUUUCCUAUCUUCUAGAACAUUCUGCCCCAGCAAGGCAGCUCGGAGGAAAUGAUUAACUUGACUGCAAAGUCUCCACGGAUAUCUGAAGCUUACUAGAAGUUUCCAGAGACAAAAAAGCAUCUGUUAGAGAAACAGGAGGGAGGGUACUGAGGAAGAACAGGUGGAAAGACAGGCAUUACCUAUCUUUGCCCGCCAGAUAGUACAUCCUGUAUUCCACGCAUCAGUCCAAGGUAAGGUGUGUCAAAGGGGAGGAAGUGGGUGACAGGAAUGCCAAGAUGUCGGACAGGAAGCACGCAGGGCUGUGUGGGCGAGCUCACGGACAUGAAUACUGGGCUUUGUCAUUUCACUACUUGACACAUGAAGAGGAACAGUAAGACACAAGAGACAUGGUCUCUCCACAGACACGGAGAGAUCAGCUGAAGGAGGCCUGCACUUUAAGACUGAGACAGAAUUUUACUCUGUAAAAAGGGAAAAGGUACUGAAAUGCUUCAACCACUUAAUGGUAAGACUGCCACAGGUGCUUUGAGGAGCCUGAAA
RNAcentral lists this long non-coding RNA (1110 nucleotides) under Chinchilla lanigera (long-tailed chinchilla). RNAcentral describes it as "lncRNA (ENSCLAG00000027839.1)". Lineage: Eukaryota; Metazoa; Chordata; Mammalia; Rodentia; Chinchillidae. The record is from RNAcentral.